GACGGGCCUCCCCGCAUGGCGGUUUGGAUAACCUGGUCAGGUCGGGAACGAAGCAGCCAAACCCAAUUCUGUC
RNAcentral lists this signal recognition particle RNA (73 nucleotides) under Polynucleobacter sp. 35-46-11. RNAcentral's name for it is "partial signal recognition particle sRNA small type". It matches the Rfam family "Bacterial small signal recognition particle RNA", at positions 1 to 74 of the family's 97-position model. From Rfam's summary of the family: The signal recognition particle (SRP) is a universally conserved ribonucleoprotein involved in the co-translational targeting of proteins to membranes. Archaeal SRP consists of a 7S RNA and homologues of the eukaryotic SRP19 and SRP54 proteins. In most bacteria, the SRP consists of a 4.5S RNA and the Ffh protein (a homologue of the eukaryotic SRP54 protein). The record is from RNAcentral. RNAcentral also lists the same sequence under 1 other name. Lineage: Bacteria; Pseudomonadati; Pseudomonadota; Betaproteobacteria; Burkholderiales; Burkholderiaceae.